CAGUCUUUUUUGUUAUUAUUAAUUUUGGCACUUUUGAAUUGAAGACAUGACUUUUGACCAAUGAAUGAGAGAGAAGCAGGUUUUCACUUCAAAAGUGAGCACGUGAUUAUUUCAUGGACGUUUUGAUACCACUUGCUGUUGUCAAGUGUUGGUCACCAUUGGGUCACAUUCUUUCAGAAAGUUUGUUAUAUCUGAUC
Erpetoichthys calabaricus (reedfish) is the source of this 197-nucleotide long non-coding RNA. RefSeq lists it as uncharacterized. Lineage: Eukaryota; Metazoa; Chordata; Cladistia; Polypteriformes; Polypteridae. The record is from RefSeq and is a predicted model, not a curated record. The transcript has 2 exons.